This 253-nucleotide ribosomal RNA is filed under the name uncultured bacterium. Its description in RNAcentral is "partial 16S ribosomal RNA". It matches the Rfam family "Bacterial small subunit ribosomal RNA", at positions 524 to 776 of the family's 1533-position model. The record is from RNAcentral.
UACGUAGGUGGCGAGCGUUGUCCGGAUUUACUGGGCGUAAAAGGAGCGUAGGCGGACUUUUAAGUGAGAUGUGAAAUACUCGGGCUCAACUUGAGUGCUGCAUUUCAAACUGGAAGUCUAGAGUGCAGGAGAGGAGAAUGGAAUUCCUAGUGUAGCGGUGAAAUGCGUAGAGAUUAGGAAGAACACCAGUGGCGAAGGCGAUUCUCUAGACUGUAACUGACGCUGAGGCUCGAAAGCGUGGGGAGCAAACAGG